GGAUCAAUAUGUUGGUCGUGCCUCGGUACGUACUAGCUUAUUGGUUUCUCCUUUCUGAAGAACCAUGAUGUCAUUCAUUUGGUGUCGUGGGGAAUCAGGACUGUUACUUUUUGAAAAAUUAGAGUGUUUAAAGCAGGCUCACGCUUGAAUACAUUAGCAUGGAAUAAUGAAAUAGGACGUUUGAUUCUAUUUUGUUGGUUUCUAGGAUCGACGUAAUGAUUA
Molecule: ribosomal RNA, 222 nt
Filed under: uncultured Glomeromycotina
Lineage: Eukaryota; Fungi; Glomeromycota
Description: partial 18S ribosomal RNA
Rfam family: Eukaryotic small subunit ribosomal RNA (bases 45-222)
Source: RNAcentral